This 435-nucleotide long non-coding RNA is filed under the name Junco hyemalis (dark-eyed junco). RNAcentral describes it as "lncRNA (ENSJHYG00000013119.1)". The record is from RNAcentral. Lineage: Eukaryota; Metazoa; Chordata; Aves; Passeriformes; Passerellidae.
GUUGUCAUCUUCUGUCUUUUUUAGGGACAUCAGCAUGAAUGAUGCAGGACUGGGCAUUCUGGACAUCACCACAGCAAUCAUGAUAAAGAAGGGGCUGAGGAAGAUCCUGGCAGCACAACAGAGAGAAACCUCCCAGGGCCCAGCUGCUGGGAGGAUGUGACAGCAACGGGCUCGCUCUGAAAGAAAUGCACCUUCCCAGGCAAACAGGGAUCAGUGCACCUGUCAAGAUCCCACUCUGGAACAGAAGAUCAGAGCAAAUGGGGGCUGAGGAGAACAAAAGCUGCCCCAAACCUUUGACCUAAAUUUAACAUAAAGCCAAAUGAAACCUUAGAGGUUUGUAGAUGUUCAUAAAACAUUUCCACCUCCUGGUCCCCUUUCCUUUAUCUUUGGUUUCUUUAUACUUCUACAUUUAACUGUUUCUAAUUGAAAGUCUAA